GACGAACGCUGGCGGCGUGCCUAAUACAUGCAAGUCGAACGCUGAAGGAGGAGCUUGCUUCUCUGGAUGAGUUGCGAACGGGUGAGUAACGCGUAGGUAACCUGCCUGGUAGUGGGGGAUAACUAUUGGAAACGAUAGCUAAUACCGCAUAACAGUAGAUAUCGCAUGAUAUGUACUUGAAAGGUGCAAUUGCAUCACUACCAGAUGGACCUGCGUUGUAUUAGCUAGGUGGUGAGGUAACGGCUCACCCAGGCGACGAUACAUAGCCGACCUGAGAGGGGGAGCGGCCACACUGGGACUGAGACACGGCCCAGACUCCUACGGGAGGCAGCAGGAGGGAAUCGUCGGCAAGGGACGGAAGUCUGACCGCACAACGCCGCGGGAGUGAAGAACGUUGUCGGAUCGUAAAGGUCGGUUGUAAGAGAAGAACGAGUGUGAGAGUGGAAAGUUCACACUGUGACGGUAUCUUACCAGAAAGCGACGGCUAACUACGUG
RNAcentral lists this ribosomal RNA (495 nucleotides) under uncultured bacterium. RNAcentral describes it as "partial 16S ribosomal RNA". It matches the Rfam family "Bacterial small subunit ribosomal RNA", at positions 28 to 507 of the family's 1533-position model. The record is from RNAcentral.